This 1743-nucleotide ribosomal RNA is filed under the name marine metagenome. Its description in RNAcentral is "bacterial LSU rRNA". It matches the Rfam family "Bacterial large subunit ribosomal RNA", at positions 618 to 2462 of the family's 2925-position model. The record is from RNAcentral.
AGCCUACGAGUUACUCGUAUCUAGCAAGGUUAAGUCAUUAAUUGACGCAGCCGAAGCGAAAGCAAGUCUGAAUAGGGCGUUUAGUUAGGUGCGGUAGACGCGAAACCUUGUGAUCUACCCAUGACCAGGUUGAAGUUCCGGUAACACGGAAUGGAGGACCGAACCAGUAGACGUUGAAAAGUCUUUGGAUGAGUUGUGGGUAGGGGUGAAAGGCCAAUCAAACUCGGAAAUAGCUCGUACUCCCCGAAAUGCAUUUAGGUGCAGCGUUGAUUUAGUUUUAUAGAGGUAGAGCUACUGAUUGGAUGCGGGGGUUUCACCACCUACCAAUUCUUGACAAACUCCGAAUGCUAUAAAAUGAUGAUCAGCAGUGAGGGCAUGGGUGCUAAGGUCCAUGUCCGAGAGGGAAAGAACCCAGACCAUCAGCUAAGGUCCCAAAAUGUAUGUUAAGUUGAUUAAACGAGGUUGAACUGCCCAGACAGCUAGGAUGUUGGCUUGGAAGCAGCCAUUCAUUUAAAGAGUGCGUAACAGCUCACUAGUCGAGCGGUCGAGCAUGGAUAAUAAUCGGGCAUAAGCAUAUCACCGAAGCUGUGGCAACGAAAGUUGGGUAGGGGAGCAUUGUAGCGGCGCUGAAUGUAAACUGCGAGGUUUGCUGGAGCUUCUACAAAAGAAAAUGUAGGCAUAAGUAACGAUAAUGCGGGCGAGAAACCCGCACACCGAAAGACUAAGGUUUCCUCAGCUAUGCUAAUCAGCUGAGGGUUAGUCGGGACCUAACACGAACCCGAAAGGGGUAGUGGAUGGACAACAGAUUAAUAUUUCUGUACCUGCUCUCAUUAAAAGUGACGGAUUACCCAGGUGUUUACGUGGCGACGGAAGUCCACGUUGAGCCUAGCCUUCGGGCGAAGCGAAAACAAGUAAGUAGUUCCAAGAAAAGCGAGAGAAGCAGCCCGUACCGCAAACCGACACAGGUAGUUGGGAUGAGUAUUCUAAGGAGCUCGAGAGAUUCAUGGCUAAGGAACUAGGCAAAAUAGACCCGUAACUUCGGGAGAAGGGUCGCCACGCCUCGGCGUGGCCGCAGUGAAAUGGUUCAGGCGACUGUUUAUCAAAAACACAGGACUCUGCUAAAUCGAAAGAUGAUGUAUAGGGUCUGACACCUGCCCGGUGCCGGAAGGUUAAGUGGAGUUGUUAGCUUCGGCGAAGCAGCGAAAUGAAGCCCCGGUAAACGGCGGCCGUAACUAUAACGGUCCUAAGGUAGCGAAAUUCCUUGUCGGGUAAGUUCCGACCUGCACGAAUGGUGCAACGAUCUGGAUACUGUCUCGGCCAUGAGCUCGGUGAAAUUGUAGUAUCGGUGAAGAUGCCGAUUAACCGCUACGGGACGAAAAGACCCCGUGCACCUUUACUAUAGCUUCGUAUUGACCUUGGAUAAGUAAUGUGUAGGAUAGGUGGGAGACUUUGAAACCAUACCGCCAGGUAUGGUGGAGUCGCCCUUGAAAUACCACCCUUUGCUUAUCUAGGGCCUAAUCUGUUUACAGAGACAGUGCGUGGUGGGUAGUUUGACUGGGGUGGUCGCCUCCAAAAGAGUAACGGAGGCUUCUAAAGGUACCCUCAGCACGCUUGGUAACCGUGCGUAGAGUGCAAUGGCAUAAGGGUGCUUGACUGAGAGACUGACAAGUCGAUCAGGUACGAAAGUAGAGCAUAGUGAUCCGGUGGUUCCGUAUGGAAUGGCCAUCGCUCAAAGGAUAAAAG